Silurus meridionalis is the source of this 405-nucleotide long non-coding RNA. RefSeq lists it as uncharacterized. The record is from RefSeq and is a predicted model, not a curated record. The transcript has 4 exons. NCBI's taxonomy places the organism in Eukaryota, Metazoa, Chordata, Actinopteri, Siluriformes, Siluridae.
CUCCUGUGUAUGGCUCAUUGUAGGUCAUUCCAUAGGUUUUGGAUUGGGUUGAGCUUCUUCACAGAGGACAGAAGCUUCUGCCCAGCUGAAGAAAAGCAGCUCCAAAGCAUAGUGCUGCCCCCCACCAUACCACCAUGUUGAUUUUCUUGAAGCCCCCAUAGUGAUUAUGGUCAUGGCGACAGCAUGGCCAAGUUUUUUGUCCCAUGAAAGUUCUUUAUGCCGAGCAAUUCACAUAGUGAGCAACCUGAAAGCAAAGGGAAAGAUAUUUCACUUGCUCACCAAGUAUCUGCACUGGGAUGAGGAGCCUCCGGGAAACAUCUACAAUAUGAUCACCAGCACCCUGAAGUCUUUUCUGGAAGACAGCAGUCUGAGGUUCCUGGAGAACAGCUGGUAUGGUUAUGAUCU